GCCUCGUUAGCGCAGUAGGCAGCGCGUCAGUCUCAUAAUCUAAUGUAGAAAUCUGAAGGUCUUGAGUUCGAUCCUCACACGGUUCA
Non-coding RNA from Nematostella vectensis (starlet sea anemone), 86 nucleotides. NCBI's taxonomy places the organism in Eukaryota, Metazoa, Cnidaria, Anthozoa, Actiniaria, Edwardsiidae. The record is from Rfam.